Rattus norvegicus (Norway rat) is the source of this 149-nucleotide small nuclear RNA. Ensembl annotates it as U2 spliceosomal RNA. The record is from Ensembl. Lineage: Eukaryota; Metazoa; Chordata; Mammalia; Rodentia; Muridae.
AUCGCUUCUCGGCCUUUUGGCUAAGAUCAAGUGUAGUAUAAUUAUGAUAGACCAAUUUUAAGCUCUUGUUUUUUUUCCUCACUGGACAUUAAUCCAUGUCAAAUUUCCUGAUAUGUAGUAGGCCUUCAGUUUCACUCUACAGAUCUGUU